UGGACCUGAUAUCAGGCA
This 18-nucleotide ribosomal RNA is filed under the name Lagenidium sp. PWL-2010a. RNAcentral describes it as "partial large subunit ribosomal RNA". The record is from RNAcentral. Lineage: Eukaryota; Oomycota; Peronosporomycetes; Pythiales; Pythiaceae.